UCCGAAGUAGCUCAGUUGGUAGAGCAGCGCCCUGUUAAGGCGCGGGUCCCUGGUUCGAGUCCAGGCUGCGGAGCCA
This 76-nucleotide transfer RNA is filed under the name Pseudomonadota bacterium. RNAcentral's name for it is "tRNA-Asn". It matches the Rfam family "tRNA". From Rfam's summary of the family: Transfer RNA (tRNA) molecules are approximately 80 nucleotides in length. Lineage: Bacteria; Pseudomonadati; Pseudomonadota. The record is from RNAcentral.